Molecule: ribosomal RNA, 350 nt
Filed under: uncultured bacterium
Lineage: Bacteria
Description: partial 16S ribosomal RNA
Rfam family: Bacterial small subunit ribosomal RNA
Source: RNAcentral
CCUACGGGUGGCAGCAGUGAGGAAUAUUGGUCAAUGGGCGCGAGCCUGAACCAGCCAAGUAGCGUGAAGGAUGACUGCCCUACGGGUUGUAAACUUCUUUUAUAAAGGAAUAAAGUGAGGCACGUGUGCCUUUUUGUAUGUAUUUUAUGAAUAAGGAUCGGCUAACUCCGUGCCAGCAGCCGCGGUAAUACGGAGGACCCGAGCGUUAACCGGAUUUAUUGGGUUUAAAGGGAGCGUAGAUGGGUUUUUAAGUCAGUUGUGAAAGUUUGCGGGUCAACCGUUAAAUUGCAAUUGAUAAUGGGCGGCUUGAGUACCGGUGAGGGUGGGGGGAUUCGUGGUGUAGCCGUGCA